UUUUACCAAAACCCAAUAGCAAAAAUUAUAACAAACCAUGAAAUGCUGAAGCUAUUUCCAUUAAAAAAUAGAGCUGAUUUCUUGUUAAAUUUAAUCUGUAGUGAAAUUGAUCACACCUUUCUUUCUACCCGCACUGGUGUAGGACAUACUCAGCCAUGUGGCUGAGUACGGCCCCAGUGCAGUAAUUGGAUGUAUUUAAACAUCUCUUUCUCCCGUUAGAUUGAGACUUCCUAGAGGCAGGUGUAGUCCUUAGAAAUUCUUGUAUCCUUAGUCCCUGACAUAGUCUCUGAUGCAAAAAGUUUCCUGAAGGCACAGCAAUUGAAGGAAUAUCAUAAUACUAGAAUUUUGUACUUUACAAAAGGCCGUGUUUGUCUUCCCCUGAGAGAAUUGUGUCAGUUUGAUUUAUAUACGACAUGCUGAGCAUACCAUGAACAUAAUUUGCAAAAACUGUUUUUCAAAAAGUCCAACUAAAGAAUUAUAUCUGAAUCAGGGAGCAGAGACCAAUGAGCCCAUUUGCACUUUUUAUUAUGUUAUCUUUCCUUGAGAUUUUAAAAUCUCACAUAGUUCCAUUGUGAUCAUUUUUUGAAACUCAUUUCAUGAUUGUUUCAGAAUUUAUUCAUCAUAUUGAGAUGAGCUGUGAACAGCUUGGAAGUGCAAUAGUAUAAGUCACUUAGCUUAAGUUUAUAUACCUGAGAAACCAUAACAAGAUUAAAAACAAACAAACAAACAAAUGAAAACCCAAAAACUACUGGGGAAAUGCUUCUCUAAAAGGAAUUUUAGUUUCACAUCCUUCCCACCUUCUAAAAACAAAUUUUCUUCUAUUUUUCUUACAAAAUUACUAUUUAAAUCCAAGGACAUCCAUAUAUUUAACUUCUCUAGAGCCCUGAGUUAUUUCACUUAGUAUUAAUGCACCAGGCCUCUCUGCCUGUACUUGCUAAUACCUGUUUAGAAGCUAAUGCCUCCUGCUGCUAUGUUUUUCUCUUAAGAAGCAAGAGACACAUUACCCUGAGAUGGGAAACAGGUUAGAUGUUCAGGAUUCUACUGUAGAAGGAUUCCACCCCACCCUGAGUUAGCCCACUCAUUUAUUCAUUUAGCAAGUGUUUAUGAAGCUCAUAAGCUGGAGUGGGUACAGGGUGAAGACACAGCACAGACCCCAAAAGAGAUUUAUACUCUGACAAUAUUCUCCUUCUUCCCUUUCUUUACCUUUUCCCUGCCUAUGCUGUGUGUUUCUCAGUGGUGUCCUUCGGAGGCAACAAGGAAACAAAAAGCCGUGUUCUUACAUCAGACGAAUUUAAUUACUUUAAAGGAUAGUUUAAAGAAAUAGACGUUUCCUUUCCUUUUCUCCUCUCUUCAUCUAUCUACCUACCUACCUACCUACCUAUCAUAUCUAUAUAUUUAUCUAUCUAUCCAUCCAUCUAUCACCUGUCUAUUUUUGGUCCGCCUAGUUCUAAUCUCAUCCCCUCUCUCCUGGAAACAGCACCCUGAUUUUCCUUGGGGAAUACACCCUCUCCCACUGCUGGCCCAUGUGGCUGAGUGAGGCUCAGUAUUCACCUCAGCUUCAGGGCAGGACAUGGGAUCCAGGUCUGGCCAGUGAGAGGAAUUUCUGGGAUUUUUAGCUGGAAUUACCAGGAAAAAGCACUCUCAUCUGGAGUUGCUAACUUGGUAGAGUUUAAUUCUGAUGCUGCUAGUGGCCAUCUUGUCAUCACAAGUAGAGACAUUGUAUGAAAAUGAAGCUGAACACAGAGGAAAAGGAAUUGAAUGAUGAAGGAAGACGCUUUUUUUUUUUUAAAGAUUAGCACCUGAGCUAACAUCUGUUGCCAAUCUUCUUUUUUUUUUUCCUUCUUCUUCUCCCCAAAGCCCCUCAGUACACAGUUGUAUAUUCUAGUUGUGAGUGCCUCUGGCUGUGCUACAUGGGACGCCGCCUCAGCAUGGCCUGAUGAGCGGUGCCAUGUCUGCGCCUAGGAUCUGAACCAGCGAAACCCUGGGCUGCCUAUGAAAUGGGGCGCACGAACUUAAUCACUCGGCCAUGGGGCCGGCCCGGCCCCAGGAGACACAUUUUUGAUGAGACCAUCUGAGUACAUGAGUUCAACCAGGCUACCUGCGACUAAAAUGCAUAUAAAUGGACACCUAAUGCAGUCCAGAGUCAGAGAGGCUCCCUGGGAAAGUGACUUCUAAAUGGUCUCUCAAAGGAAGUCAUGCUAAGAGGGAAAGGAGAGUGUUUUCAGCAAAGGAAACAGCAUGUUGGAAAACUGUGAGUUGAGAGAUAGUGCAACUUAUUUGAUGAAUUGAAAGCUGUUCCCACUGCUUGGUACAUAGAGGGCAAGAAGGGACAGAGGCAGGAGCACCACGGAGACAUGAGGCUGCAGAGGUUACACAAGGUCAGGUAACCCCAAACUUCAUCCUCAAGGCAAGAGGAAGGGUCUUCAGUGGGGCAAUGACAAGAUCUGAAUUCUAUCCAGAAGUGUUUCUCUGACAGCCAUGUAGAAAAUUGAUUGAAGUUGGGCAAAACAAGGAGACCAGUUAGUGUGACAUGAUGGUGGCCUUUCCUAGUAGUGGCAGUGGAAAUAUAGAGACAUGAAUGGAUUAGAGCGCUUUGUAAGAGUUAGAGUCAAGAGGCUUCGGAGGCUGACUGGGUGGAGAUCAGGAAGAAGGAGUCAAGGAAGAUGCUAGUUUCCUGCCCUGGGCACUGGCUGAUGGUGGUGUUGAGGGAGAGCAUCACAGAAGCAGAAGGUUUUGGAAGAAGAGGAAUUCAGUGUUGGAGAAUUUGGGUAUGAAGUAUUUGGCAUAUCUGAGGGGAAAUGUGGGAUAGAAUGUGGAAUAUUCUGGUCCUCUAUGUCAGGAAAGUGAGAGUUGUGCUGAAGAUAUAAAUUUGGGAGAUGUGAAUGUAACUGAAGCCAUGAUUGUAGAUGAGAUAUUUUGGAAUCAAUGUUAGAUAAGGAAAAAAGAGGGCUUGGGGAAGAAUCCUGAAAAACACCAAUAUUUAGGGGUUAAGCAGAGGAGAAAUGGCCCCAAAAGGAGCCUAGAAAGAAUUAAUCAGAAGAGUGGAAGAAAAAUCAGGAGAGUGUGGCACUUCAGAGGCCAAGUCUAGAAAAUGUAUCAAAGAGAGAGUGGUGAAGAGUCAGCAGUGCUAUUUAGGGUCAAAGAACUGUGAUAAGCUAUUGUUACUGCUCGUCUAGCAGGUGGUAUCAGAAUACUUAUUAUGGAGAGCUCUGGGCUUGUUGAAAAAAAAAAGAAAUGUUGAUAAACACUUGAUAAUAAAACCAGUCGUGUCAAGGUUUCAAAAGAGGGAAAAGUCCAUCUUCAGGAGAGAAAGAGAAUUUGGAGGUCUUGGAGUAAUUCUGGAAGGGACAGCAAGGAAAGGAGAUGGAGGGAAAAAGCCAGGGAAAUAACAGGCCCAGAUCUGUAUGACGGGACACUUUCAUGGAACCUCACAGAAAUUCUGUAAAAUGUAUUAAAUGUGCGGUUGGUUGAAGUGAUAUUACUAUUUUGUGGAAACCAAUAGAGGGGCUGAAUUUCUCAACUGGAGAAGGUGUGGUAAGAAACAGAGAGAGCAGGUGAGAAAACUGACGCUGAGGGUACAGAGGAGGCCUGGAGACCUCGGUGGAGGUCGGGUGAAGGUGAGGCUAGGCUGCCUCAGUUUCAGUCUGGUUGCCCCUCUUAUCAGCUAUGGAACUGCUCUGAGCCUCAGUCUCCUUAUCUGCAAAAAAUGAGGACAAUAGUACUUAUUUCAUAGGAUUAUUGUCAGGACUGAAUGUGUUACUACAUGUGCCUAGCAUAAUAGGCUCUUACUAGACAUUGGCUGUUUUUUCAAAGCCCUUUGGAAGGGCUUUGGACUCCCACAGACCAUGGAAUUAGGGGAGAUUAGGGCAGUUUCCCCCAGGGCUCAAGGUUAAGGGAGGUUCCCAAAUGAUGCCUGCAUUAUAUAAGCGAGAGAUUGAAAAUUGUCUAUGGGAUUUAGCCACAAGGAUGAUAUUACUAAUCCUGAAGAAAGCAGUUUUAAUGAAGUGGUGUGGACCAAAGCCAAAUGGCAGUGUGUUCAUUCAGAAGUGAGUGGGGACAGUGACAAUUUUUAAAGCAGUUUAGCUAGGAAAGGCAAGAGAAAUAGACAGACAGAGACAUAGACAGAGAAAUAGACAGACAGAAAAAGAAGACAGAGAGAGAGAUGGGAUGGAACCUUAUCUCAGAGGUUACCCAUACAUCCAGGGUUGUGUAAUUGUCUCUUCUAAUAAAGACGAUACCUUAUCACAAAAUUUGGCUUCAUAGUUCUUUACUCUAUGUCCCUGUUGUCAUUUGGAUUUAAGGAACACAAGUCGAGACAUAAAAAGUAUAACUGAAACCAUUUUGAGGCUGAAACCGUUUCUGUUUCAAAUAGCAUAAAGUUGUACCCGGGAAUGAUAAAAAUGCCAAAAGUAAUUUCCAGCAUUCCGGAAGAUUAAGACACUGAAAACCAAAUAAUUGUUUAAAUUUGAGAAGUUUAAAUUUGAAUCUUGUGCUUUAAAGAGGCUUGUUAAUUUGCUGUGUUUAUGAAGUAAGACCCAAUCUGUGUCAUAUACUUCCUCAUAUUUUCUUCCUGAGUGGAGAGAAACAUCUUACUGGCAUAUCAUCACUCUUCAAUAGCUAGAGGCAUCAUCAAAAAUUGAGAUAAUUACCUUUAACAGGAAUAAAUGAAUUUUGAGUAUAUAGGCUCCUACCUCUUAAAGCACGGCAAAGGGGGUUAACAAGGCAAGGCGACUCUUGGCUGGAGGAGUACACGUAAGUCAUUCUUAAUUGGAGGUUUCACCUUUGUUCCCCUGGGCAGCUGCCAGGGAACUUUCUGCAUAUGACCUGAGAUAAAUGAGCAAGUCAGGGAACUGUUUGCAUCUCUAGGAUGAACUGCUAGGCUAUCGCUUUGAAAUUGUAAAGGAGAUGGUGGUGAUUAAAGACACGUUUUUUACAACUCAGUGUAAAAGACAGUUAAGAAGUCCUAAAGGAAGAGGCAGGGCUCAGGGAAGCCCACAACCAGUGACUCUGGGAUGCUGGAUUUCACAUUGUUUUUCUUAUUAAUGCUAGAGGGAGGCUGAUUUGGAACACAUACCACAAGGAGAAUUGUAGCUCAUGAAUCAGAGCAUCAAUAUUUUUUUGGGAAAGAACAGCAUAAGCAAAGGGAAGCUUUGAAGGGAAAGUUGUGUGAACACACUCUCUUCUGCAACAAUCUCUUCUGCUCCUCGAGGAGAGACUGAGACCGUCCUCCUUAAGAGGCUCUAGCCUCAGUAGUUGCAUGUUGAGCGUGAUCUGGAGAGUUGGGGCCCUGAAUUUACAGGUCUAGCCUAUUCACUUCUCUGCCACUAAUUUGGUGAUUUGGGGCAAGCCUUGACCCCUCGGAACCUCCUUUUUCCCAUAUGUAAAAUGGUAGAAAGCAAAUGGCCACUGGGAUUCUUGCCUAUUAUGGGGUUCUAAGAAUCUAGGAAGAUGGGCAAAAGAAUGUACAUCUCUAAUAAAGAGGCUCAAAAGAAACCAGCUUCUUGUGUUUUUGCUUUGGGAAUAACAUGUGCCAUUUGAUUAUACGGGAAAAGAAAGAAUGGGUAUGAAACCCAGACGUCUUGGGUUGGCACAUGCAGACAAUAAUAUUCUUAUAAAAAUUUUGGAUAAACACUUAUUAUACACUUGCUUUCAUCCCAAGUAUUUGGUUUUCAGUGUCUUAAUCUUCUGGAAUGCUGGAAAUUACUUUUGGCAUUUUCAUCAUUCCUGGGGUACAACUUUAUGCUAUUUGAAACAGAAAUGGUUUCGGCCUCAAAAUAACAGUUCCUGCUAAUCAACUCAAAAUCUUCCAAGUCACACAGACUAUCGGAAGCCAUAACCUAUUUUUCUGAACAGAGAAUGUAUUUGCUCAGUCCGUAAGAUUGAGAUCAAACUUGGAUGUUAUUUUCCAGAUUCUAGUCUUUGGAAAGCAGACGAAGAAUACCCCAAUGGCAUGAGAUGCUUUGUGAAUAGCAAACUCUAUAAACAUUUUCUUAGGAACCACAUUUUGUCCUGUGAAUAAUUAGGGUGACGUCCCUUGAGCUGGUGCAGCCUGCUGGUUUGUUAGGAUAGCUCCUUGAAUAGUGAGGCCUGCCUUUUCGGAUCCUGCUUCUCCUAACAUCUUAAGACCUUGGAAAAAUGCACUAAUGGGUUUUGUUCUAACUCUGCCUGGUCAUGUAGACACGAUUUUGGUCUUCAGUUGAAUUUGGCAGCCAUGGAAUUUGAGGUUGUGUAUAAAGUCAUCCAAAUUGGCAGCUCCAGCCACAUUGUUGGGACUAAUAUUACAGUGAACAAGUCCACUCAGGGCAAAAGGAAUCAGGCAGAAUUGCUGGAAUCACUACAAUUUUCAGAUGUACUCUCACCUCCCUGAAGAUUUAAAAACUACUCCUUAAGAAAUCCAUUAUUUAUAAUUAGUCUUCUUGAGUCUUAACAAUUUAUUUUUGUUACAUUUUUAUAUAUACAUUCUUAGGGCCAUUAGAAAAACCCACACACCUAUUCUCAGCCAUUACUUGGAUUCAACUCACUGUCAAAUCUACCAUUCUUUUUGCUUUGCUCUCUAUAUCCUUGUAAAAAGAAAACCCCCCAAAAAGCCACCCUCCAAUCCCUUCCCUCCAUGAAAGAACUGAUUUAAAAAUAAAAAGGCUGGAAUCAAUAGACCAGAUACGUCAGACUCAAAUGCUUAAAGGAUUAAGAAUUUACUUCAUCUGUGAGAUGGAAUCAAUGAGUCCUUUCAUGCAGCUAUUUGGAAGCUCAUUUUGAGGUCUCUGAUGUGGAAGGGAUAUCAGGAUCAGCUGAUGAUUAUGCUACCUACUCAGGCUCCAAUUUGAUGAUAUGGCUGUGAUGUUUUGCCUCAGAGUUAAUGCAACAUAGAAUAUGUUUUCCUCUGCAGCAAAGCAGCUUGCUACUGUGUUCUAUUUGAUGCACCUCCCAAGGUAGAUUUCAUCAAUGCCAUGUUGCCUGUAAUUCAAGUCUGACCGUCCCAAUGUGAACUCCAAAUUUGGGAACAAUCUUUGUCUGGAAGGAGCCUCAGGAUGCAUAUAUCUGCAGUGGUCUCCACUUACCUGUUUCAAGAACAAGUUUAGGUGGCGGUGUAGCACAAGUUUUGGAGUUCUCUUACCUGAGCUGCCUCUGGCUAUAUUUGAGAGCUGGCAUUUCCCCCCUCCACCGCCUCCAUCAGAGGUGUUGCCAGUGUUUUUGUUAUCUCUGCUUGUGCCUCCAGGGUUGCUGGUGCCUUUGCUGCUGGUUUUGCUGUGGUCACAUGCAUCACCACCAGGGUCACUGGGAUGGCAGGCACCUCUGCUGUGUCCAAGGUUGCCUGGGUCACUAACACUGCUGCUGUGGUUGAUGCAGGGGAGCCAAGGUCACUGGCACCUUCACUGCACCCAAGGUUGUCAGGUUCCCAGGUACAACCACCAAAAGCAGGAAGGGUGGAGUUGCAGGAGCUGCCACUGCUCUCUCAGGGGGCCAGGGUCACAUUCCCUGUGGAGCCUGGGUUCCUUGUGGCCAUAAGUGCCACCGUGGCUGGGGGACUGGAGUCACAUGUACUCCUCCACUGAUGCUAUCAGGUUCUCUGGGGGUGAAGGCACCACUGCAGCUGGAGAGGGGGCGAGGGUCAUGGGCCCCACCUCCCCCACUGCUACUGGGAUUACUGGGGCUGUGGGCUCAGCUGCUGCAGCCAGGGAGGUGUGGUCUCAGGCCCCAUCUCUGCUGUUUCCCUGGUCUCACCACCUCUAUGCAUUCCAGUCUACCCGCCUUCAGAUGUACAGAUGUGUGGAUCCCUCCAGUGUCCUGGUGUGCUGAGCAGAGGAAACUUUGUUGAGUUAUGAAUAUCCUACCUAGUUGUAGAUUGAAGGAAAGAAACAAAAGGAGAAUCUCAUGCCACCAUGAUGCUGAUGUCACUCCUUGAUCUGUCUAUUCUUUUACCAAUAUUACUGCUUUCAUCAUUUUGGGUCUAUGAUUAAUAAAUUAUUUCAUCCCAUAAUCAUUGAGUACCUGGUGUGUGUCUGAAACUGUGUUUGGCAUGAGGAUACAGCAGUUUAUCAGGUGGACAUAGUUCCUGCCCUCACAUUCAUUGUUUCUAGUGCAGGAAACAGGAAAUAAUCAAUGUGUACAACCUAGUGAGCCAUGGGCACUGAGAAAAGAGGCACAAGGUGUUAGGGGAACAUAUGGUAAGGGUCUAUUCCACACUAGGAGUCAAUGAGGAUUCCUGGAUGAGUGAUAUCUAAGUUUAGUCCUGAGGUUCAUGGUAGGCAGGCAAACAGACGAGAGAGAAGUUGAAGAUGGAUGGAACAACAACCUGACAAUCUGAGAGUCAAUAGAGAGCCUGGUGCAUUUGAGAAGCUGAAAACAAUUCUGCAUGGCUGGAGCAGAGUACAGAGGGUUGGUUCCGGACAGGGGAGCCAAACUAUGUUAAGGAUCAUUGCCUUUACCCUGAAGACCAUGGGGAAUCAUUGAAAAGGUUUAAAUAAGAGAGUGACUUGACCAGAUUCACAUUUAAGGAAGAUCUGUCUGGCUGCAACAUAGAGGAUCAAUUGGAGUGGAGUAAAAAAUUUUGUCAGGGACAUUCGUUGUUCUAAUAAAUCAAAGGAAAAGAAAAUUGAUGCUGGCCUGAACUAGGGUAGUGGUACCAGGAAUGGAGAGAAUAUAGUGGAUCUGACAAAGUAUAAUUUGGUAUAUUUGGAAGAUAUUUAGGAGGUAAAAUUGGCAGAAAUUGGUGAUUGAUUGGAUGCUGAAUAUAAGGGAGAGGGAGGAAUGAGAGCUGAUAGCACAGGACGGUUGGGUACAUGUUGGUUCCAUUCACUGAGAGGGAAUGCAGGAAAGGUGAAUAUGAGAUGAGAAGAUGCUAAUUUUUGUGUAUGUUAAGUUUGAGAUGUAUGUGGUACACCCAGAACUACACGUCCAACAGGCUAUUGAAGUCUGAAUGAGAGUAAGACCAUCUGGAGCACAAAUUUGGUUGUCUUCAGUAUUUGAAGGAUGGACUAAGCUAUAAGGGUGGAUGUGAUCUCCCAGGCAGGAUUUAUAGAGUGAAAAUAGCAGAAGGGAAAAACAGAAAAGAGUGAUAGCUAAAGGUAUAAAGAUCAAUGUAAUUCAGACUUUCUAUCCAGG
Equus caballus (horse) is the source of this 9102-nucleotide long non-coding RNA. NCBI's taxonomy places the organism in Eukaryota, Metazoa, Chordata, Mammalia, Perissodactyla, Equidae. The record is from Ensembl.